Molecule: ribosomal RNA, 262 nt
Filed under: uncultured bacterium
Lineage: Bacteria
Description: partial 16S ribosomal RNA
Rfam family: Bacterial small subunit ribosomal RNA
Source: RNAcentral
UUAGUGGCGGACGGGUGAGUAACGCGUGGAUAACCUGCCGUAUACAGGGGGAUAACACUUAGAAAUAGGUGCUAAUACCGCAUAAGCGCACGGUUCCGCAUGGAACAGUGUGAAAAACUCCGGUGGUAUACGAUGGAUCCGCGUCUGAUUAGCUAGUUGGCGGGGUAACGGCCCACCAAAGCGACGAUCAGUAGCCGGCCUGAGAGGGUGAACGGCCACAUUGGGACUGAGACACGGCCCAAACUCCUACGGAAGGCAGCAG